Molecule: ribosomal RNA, 465 nt
Filed under: uncultured bacterium
Lineage: Bacteria
Description: partial 16S ribosomal RNA
Rfam family: Bacterial small subunit ribosomal RNA
Source: RNAcentral
CCUACGGGAGGCAGCAGUGGGGAAUAUUGCGCAAUGGGCGAAAGCCUGACGCAGCGACGCCGCGUGAGGGAUGAAGGUCUUCGGAUCGUAAACCUCUGUCAGCAGGGAAGAACGGUCACUGUGCUAAUCAGCAGUGAAUUGACGGUACCUGCAAAGGAAGCACCGGCUAACUCCGUGCCAGCAGCCGCGGUAAUACGGAGGGUGCGAGCGUUAAUCGGAAUUACUGGGCGUAAAGCGCUCGUAGGCGGUAUGUCAAGUCAAGGGUGAAAUCCCCGCGCUCAACGUGGGAACUGCCUUUGAAACUGGCAAACUGGAGUGUGGGAGAGGAUAGUGGAAUUCCAGGUGUAGGAGUGAAAUGCGUAGAUAUCUGGAGGAACAUCAGUGGCGAAGGCGACUAUCUGGCACAUAACUGACGCUGAGGAGCGAAAGCGUGGGUAGCAAACAGGAUUAGAUACCCCAGUAGUC